RNAcentral lists this RNase P RNA (377 nucleotides) under Acinetobacter sp. ANC 4648. Its description in RNAcentral is "RNase P RNA component class A". It matches the Rfam family "Bacterial RNase P class A". Rfam says of the family: Ribonuclease P (RNase P) is a ubiquitous endoribonuclease, found in archaea, bacteria and eukarya as well as chloroplasts and mitochondria. Its best characterised activity is the generation of mature 5'-ends of tRNAs by cleaving the 5'-leader elements of precursor-tRNAs. Cellular RNase Ps are ribonucleoproteins. Lineage: Bacteria; Pseudomonadati; Pseudomonadota; Gammaproteobacteria; Moraxellales; Moraxellaceae. The record is from RNAcentral.
GAAGUGAGCCAGACGAUCGUCGCUGUGUAGAUCUCCGUGAUUGAAACAGGGGAGGAAAGUCCGGGCUUCAUAGGGCAGGGUGCCAGGUAACGCCUGGGCGGUGUAAACCGACGGCAAGUGCAGCAGAGAGUAGACCGCCUCCAUCAACAUUUCUUUUCGAAGAAGUGGGAGGUAAGGGUGAAAGGGUGCGGUAAGAGCGCACCGCGUGUCUGGUAACAGUUCACGGCAAGGUAAACCCCACCAGAAGCAAGACCAAAUAGGAAUCCUGAGGCACGGCCCGUGCUGGAUUCGGGUAGGUCGCUUGAGCGUACGAGUGAUUGUACGCCUAGAGGAAUGAUCGUUCACGACAGAACCCGGCUUAUCGGCUCACUUCAAUA